CCUACGGGUGGCAGCAGUGGGGAAUAUUGCACAAUGGGCGAAAGCAUGAUGCAGCAACGCCGCGUGAGCGAUGAAGGCCCUCGGGUCGUAAAGCUCUUUCCUCAAGGAAGAUAAUGACGGUACUUGAGGAGGAAGCCCCGGCUACCUACGUUCCAGCAGCCGCGGUAAUACGUAGGGGGCUAGGGUUAUCCGGAAUUACUGGGCGUAAGGGGUGCGUAGGUGGUUUCUUAAGUCAGAGGUAAAAGGCUACGGCUAAACCGUAGUAAGCCUUGGAAACUGGGAAACUUGAGUGUAGGAGAGGAGAGUGGAAUGCGUGGUGUAGCGGUGAAAUGCGUAGAUAUUAGGAGGAACACCAGUUGCGAAGGCGGCUCUCUGGACCGUAACUGACACUGAGGCACGAAAGCGUGGGGAGCAAACAGGAUUAGAUACCCUGGUAGUC
Molecule: ribosomal RNA, 439 nt
Filed under: uncultured bacterium
Lineage: Bacteria
Description: partial 16S ribosomal RNA
Rfam family: Bacterial small subunit ribosomal RNA
Source: RNAcentral